AUCGUGGUUGUGGUCUCGGGUAACAGAAACAAGCUUGUAAUCACUAUGCAAAUUUUUUUAUAAAAACUUGUAAAGUUUAAUGAAAUGAAUAAGCACUUAACUAAAGCUAUGAUGCACAACUAAAUAAUGAGCAUAAAUACAUUAAACAAAGACAUUAAAUCCAUCAAUCAAUUUAAGACUAAGAUAACUAGGAUCCUAAAGGGGCA
This 206-nucleotide unclassified non-coding RNA is filed under the name Hevea brasiliensis (rubber tree). The record is from RNAcentral. Lineage: Eukaryota; Viridiplantae; Streptophyta; Magnoliopsida; Malpighiales; Euphorbiaceae.